Gallus gallus (chicken) is the source of this 853-nucleotide long non-coding RNA. Lineage: Eukaryota; Metazoa; Chordata; Aves; Galliformes; Phasianidae. The record is from Ensembl.
CAGGAAUUGGGGGCAGGAGAAGGACACAACAGAUGGAAAUCCAAUAGUCAUGUAGAGCAGAGAAGGAAUCUCAGUGACUCAGCUUUAUCCUCUGGAAGAAAGAAAUCUCAGAUCUCUCUCACUGCUCAUGCCCCCCCCUUUAUUUUAUUUUAUUUUAUUUUUUUGUCUGAUGAUUCUACUGUAAAAUAUGCAACAGCAAAAACAGGUGGAAAAUGUUCUCUGAGCUCCUGCAUUUGAGAAGCCAUUUUCCAGCUCUUGGCAUUCAUGCUGUUAAAAGAAGAGUUCCAGCUACCACUGGCAGGGUGAUGUGUGACCUUCAUGUCUUCCUGAGCGUACCACCUGCAUAUUUCAUUAACUACACAGGUUUUGGCAUCCUGCGGAGGAACAAAUUGCCUUUUUUUUCCCAACACGACAGCAGUUUUCCAUGGCAUUUGAGACAGGAGUUACCACUGUUGUAGGAAAUGCAGAAAAGGAAGAUGUUUGUCUUUGACCUGUUAGAUCAGUGCUCAGAUUCAUGUUUUUCUUAAGGAAUGGCUUGGAAUAAGGGUUGUGACAUGGUCACUAUUCAGUAUUUGCUCAUGUUUCCAGCUUUCCUCUGGGGAAAGCUAUUAUACGUAAUGGAUGCUGCUUCUGAAUGAAGAUGUUCUGGGCCAAAUGCUGCUCUCAACUCUGUCAGUGGAAAUAUGAGUAUUAUAAAGCCCAUGUAAUGAGCAAUUUUACAGUGGUAUAUCUGAGUAAGACUUUGUGCUAUCGAAGUAUGCAGGCACAUUAUGGAAAACAUUAAGUUUUUUUAAUCUGUCUGUAGCUGCCUAUAUCAGCCUAUAUCUGCUAUAUAGAGCAUCCAAAGGAGGGC